AGUGAACGCUGGCGGUAGGCCUAACACAUGCAAGUCGAACGGCAGCACAGUAAGAGCUUGCUCUUACGGGUGGCGCGUGGCGGACGGGUGAGGAAUACAUCGGACUCUACUUUUUCGUGGGGGAUAACGUAGGGAAACUUAUGCUAAUACCGCAUACGACCUACGGGUGAAAGCAGGGGAUCUUCGGACCUUGUGCGAUUGAAUGAGCCGAUGUCGGCUUAGCUAGUUGGCGGGGUAAAGGCACACCACGGCGACGAUCCGAAGCUGGUCUGAGAGGAAGUUCAAGCAGAUGGGCACUGAGACACGGUCCAGACUCCUACACGGAGCAGCAGUGGGGAAUAUUGGGCAAUGGGCGCAAGCCGGAUCCAGCCAUACCGCGUGGGUGAAGAAGGCGUUCGGGUGGGAAAGCCCUUUUGUUGGGAAAAAAAAGCAGCAGGUUAAUACCCCGCUGUCCUGACGGUACCCAAAGAAUAAGCACCGGCUAACUUCGUG
This 492-nucleotide ribosomal RNA is filed under the name uncultured bacterium. RNAcentral's name for it is "partial 16S ribosomal RNA". It matches the Rfam family "Bacterial small subunit ribosomal RNA", at positions 29 to 507 of the family's 1533-position model. The record is from RNAcentral.